AUCCUCUUAUUGGUUCAUAAGCAUGAUAGCUGGGUGUUCACACCCUUGGGUGACACAUGCCUCCCACGAACCUUGUUAUAGUCAGCACAUUCCCUGUCUGAUG
This is a small nucleolar RNA of Jaculus jaculus (lesser Egyptian jerboa), 103 nucleotides long. RefSeq annotates it as small nucleolar RNA U13. Lineage: Eukaryota; Metazoa; Chordata; Mammalia; Rodentia; Dipodidae. The transcript has a single exon. The record is from RefSeq and is a predicted model, not a curated record.